GAGAAAUCAGGGAGAAAAGGUAGGAAGAAAUUGCCAUAAAAGUGAGAGAUGAGAAUUGCACGGAGGGGUUGGUACCGAGAAGAUGGUAAGAAGUGGUGAAAGGUAUUAUAUUUAUAUAUCACAUCAAGACCAUAAAGGAAUUUGGUAUCUGAGUAAGGGAUGUAUUUGUCCUUUACGGAGAAGCAGGAGCUCUCUACUGCACCGUGCGUGAAUGAACAACUUGGAUCCUCUGUCUUGGAGAUGUUAAAUGCCAAAAAUGCAGGAGAAGGGAGUCCUCAGCAGAAAAAGCAGAAGCCAGUAACUUUCAUGCAGAGUGGAGCUGAGAUGCAAUCAUGGCAGAGUGGGAAACAAGCCCCUGCUAUCCAGGAGAAGGACAUAACCUGGUAUCUGAAGUUAUGUUGAAUUCUAAACAAGCUUUCAGGCUCUGAAUUUUUUAACUUCUUUGUGAAGCCAAAAUACCUGGCUGUUUAUAAGUUCUUGUAAACACAGGCUACUUGGUGAUCAGGGUCAUCAUUCUUAUUGUAGUAUAUAUCCCACAAAAACAAGUAUUACAGGGGAAACUUACAUUUGCCCCUUAUAACUUAAACUGCCGGUAUUCUCUUGUUCUGGUCUUCCCAGGCACUUUUAUUUUCUCAUGCUUAUUUUCAGAUGGACUUCAUCCACUCAGCCUCUACCAGCUUCACUCUGAUUACGUCCACAUGUAUUGUGCAGAGUCUUUCAUGUCCAAACUCUAGCAAAACUCUUAAACCAUUACCCAUUAGUUCAGCUGUGGGAGUAGUUUUGCAUUUAAAGAAACAUGACCCAAACAGGAAUUUUAAUCUUAUCUCUUUAAUGAGCUCAAGCACUUUGUACAUAUCCUAUCUUAUCAAAGUUUCUACCCUCUUGGAUUCUCUGGCAUGUCUAAACUCCAGAAUGGGUCUUGCUCUAUAAAUUUAUUUUGCAUUAUUUAAAAAAAAUAGUAGCAUAUGUUUGUGAUGCAUAAUAAUUACAAAUUCCAUUUGACCAAAAUAUACCUCAUAUCUUCCCCAAAAGAGUUAGAGUCCUCAUAUUACAGUCACCCUCCUAAUUUCAACUGUGGCAGUCCCAAGUAGUGAUUACCAGAGUCUUUAGCUAGGGUGAACAAAUACCCUGGUUUUUUAUUUGUUGAUUCAUCAUUAUCAUUAAUAGUGCCCCUGCCGCUCACAAGUGCCUCAGUGUAGACUGUAACUUUGUGGUUACUCGCGCUUACUGUUUCAUCUCUGGUUCCAAUAAUUUCCAGUAAACUCUUCCAAAGUAACCUUUAAUCUAAGUUCUCUCUUUUAUAAUGCUCGCAGCUCCCACAUUCUCCUUGUGUCUUACAAACUUCCUAUAGGGAGUGUACUCUACUCUGAUAGCUUAUCUCGUAAGAAUGCAUCCGUGCAUCCUUGUUCUUGCUCUCCUCAGAGAUUAGAGAGGAAGCAAACUGUGAGCUCCUACACAUUAAUAACUUUAUCUUAUCACAUUCUGUGUAUCCUACACCCUGGUAUCUUCCUUUCUGCAGAAAUAUUGGAUAGCUCAUGGCUCCCCUUACUGAAUAAAGUAAGUCCUUUCCCAAGGGUUAGAGCACAACUUUCUCAUCAGUCCCAGGAUUUGGUAAAUGGAGCCACCCAUAUGGCUAUGGAUGAAAGUGAAGGGUCUGAGGUCAGACUUCCAGGGUGUGAAUCCUGAUCUCAUCAUUCACAAACUUCCUGCCCCUGAGCAAAAAAAUUAGGCUCUCAGGAGCACUCUCAACUAUUAGUAUUGUAAAGAUGAGAACAGUAGGUACCUCAUAGGAUCAUGAAGCUUAAACAAGAUGAUAUACACAAGAAUUUAAUCUCCAGCACAUUAGAAGUGCUCUCUAUAUUAGUUAUUAUGCUUUUCUCAUGCAUGAAGUUCAUCCUCUUUUAAAACCAUUUUUAAAUUAUCACUGCUGUCACGGUCUUAUUUAACACCCUCUAGAUUGUUUGCCCUUUCCGAAGACUUAGGUGUAUGUUUGCCUUUUCUCUGAACCUGAACCCCAUUGUCCAAACACCUUUACUCCAUGGUUCCAUACCUGUUGAGAUCCCUUUCACCUUUGCUUCUUUGUAUCUUUGCCCACUGGCAAGAGAACUAAUAUGCUUCAGUGUACAUAGCAAGGUUGUGACUUUUGUUUGCAGGUCAUGGUCUCCUCCAUUUAUCACUAAUCCUUGUGGCUAAAUAGGAGACCCAGCAUUAAAACUUAGAUCCUAGAAUUCAUACUUUAACCAUCAUGUCUCACUGCCUCUUUAAUAGCAAAGAACUAGUGUCUGCCAAAUUUAUACUAGAUCAUGUUACUUUUUUCUAGUUUGAGCUCUUGAUACAAAU
Cavia porcellus (domestic guinea pig) is the source of this 2340-nucleotide long non-coding RNA. RefSeq lists it as uncharacterized. The transcript is spliced from 3 exons. The record is from RefSeq and is a predicted model, not a curated record. NCBI's taxonomy places the organism in Eukaryota, Metazoa, Chordata, Mammalia, Rodentia, Caviidae.